GACGAACGCUGGCGGCGUGCUUAACACAUGCAAGUCGAACGGAAAGGCCCUGCUUUUGUGGGGUGCUCGAGUGGCGAACGGGUGAGUAACACGUGAGUAACCUGCCCUUGACUUUGGGAUAACUUCAGGAAACUGGGGCUAAUACCGGAUAGGAGCUCCUGCUGCAUGGUGGGGGUUGGAAAGUUUCGGCGGUUGGGGAUGGACUCGCGGCUUAUCAGCUUGUUGGUGGGGUAGUGGCUUACCAAGGCUUUGACGGGUAGCCGGCCUGAGAGGGUGACAGGCCACAUUGGGACUGAGAUAGGGCCCAGACUCCUACGGGAGGCAGCAGUGGGGAAGAUUGCACAAUGGGCGGAAGCCUGAUGCAGCAACGCCGCGUGCGGGAUGACGGCCUUCGGGUUGUAAACCGCUUUCGCCUGUGACGAAGCGUGAGUGACGGUAAUGGGUAAAGAAGCACCGGCUAACUACGUG
RNAcentral lists this ribosomal RNA (468 nucleotides) under uncultured bacterium. Its description in RNAcentral is "partial 16S ribosomal RNA". It matches the Rfam family "Bacterial small subunit ribosomal RNA", at positions 28 to 507 of the family's 1533-position model. The record is from RNAcentral.